This 253-nucleotide ribosomal RNA is filed under the name uncultured bacterium. Its description in RNAcentral is "partial 16S ribosomal RNA". It matches the Rfam family "Bacterial small subunit ribosomal RNA", at positions 524 to 776 of the family's 1533-position model. The record is from RNAcentral.
UACGUAGGAGACGAGCGUUGUCCGGAGUUACUGGGCGUAAAGGGUGCGCAGGUGGCGGCGCGCGUGGGGGGUGAAAUCGCCCGGCUUAACUGGGCGGGGGCCUUCCAGACGGCGUGGCUUGAGCAGCGGAGGGGGACGUGGAAUUCCGGGUGGAGCGGUGAAAUGCGUAGAGAUCCGGAGGAACACCGACGGCGAAGGCAGUGUCCUGGGGAGUACCUGACGCUCAGGUGCGAAAGCCAGGGGAGCGAACGGG